RNAcentral lists this non-coding RNA (69 nucleotides) under Deinococcus soli (ex Cha et al. 2016). Lineage: Bacteria; Thermotogati; Deinococcota; Deinococci; Deinococcales; Deinococcaceae. The record is from RNAcentral.
CAGUCGCCCCUCAGGGGACGCACUCCGGACGAGAGCACCGCCGUACCCGGUCACGACAAGACGGCGAGA